UGAGGAAUAUUGGUCAAUGGACGCAAGUCUGAACCAGCCAUGCCGCGUGAAGGAUGAAGGCGUUCUGCGUUGUAAACUUCUUUUAUUAGGGAAGAAACCUGAUUUUUCUAAAUCAGCCGACGGUACCUAAGGAAUAAGCACCGGCUAACUCCGUGCCAGCAGCCGCGGUAAUACGGAGGGUGCAAGCGUUAUCCGGAUUUACUGGGUUUAAAGGGUGUGUAGGCGGACUUUUAAGUCCGUGGUGAAAUCUCCGGGCUCAACCCGGAAACUGCCAUGGAUACUAUUGGUCUUGAAUAUUGUUGAGGUGGGCGGAACGGGUCAUGUAGCGGUGAAAUGCAUAGAUAUGACCCGGAACACCGAUUGCGAAGGCAGCCCACUAAGCAAUGAUUGACGCUGAGGCACGAAAGCGUGGGGAUCAAACAGG
Molecule: ribosomal RNA, 424 nt
Filed under: uncultured bacterium
Lineage: Bacteria
Description: bacterial SSU rRNA
Rfam family: Bacterial small subunit ribosomal RNA
Source: RNAcentral